GUCCUUUCCUGUGUUUGUGUUUGCAUCCGGGUUCUCAGGCUUCCUCAAUCCUCACCGGCUGGAGUCGCUGGCGGGUUGCUGGGUGUGUUAGGUCCUGCUGUUCCGUCGUUGGAUGAGGCUGGAGGUCCGCCGGUUUCAACCUCUUGGACUAAGAGCUGUAUAUCACCAAUAAUGAGGCUUGUAAUUCUUGAUAACUAUGACUUGGCCAGUGAGUGGGCAGCCAAGUACAUCUGCAAUCGUAUCAUCAAAUUCAAGCCUGGACAGGACAGAUACUUUUCACUGGGCUUACCAACAGGGAGCACACCUUUAGGAUGUUAUAAAAAACUAAUAGAAUACCACAAGAGUGGAAACCUUUCAUUUAAAUAUGUGAAGACUUUUAACAUGGAUGAAUAUGUUGGACUUCCAAGAAACCAUCCCGAAAGCUACCAUUCUUAUAUGUGGAAUAACUUCUUUAAGCAUAUCGACAUAGAUCCUAAUAAUGCUCACAUCCUCGAUGGGAACGCUGCUGAUUUGCAGGCAGAGUGUGAUGCAUUUGAGGAGAAAAUAAAAGAAGCCGGAGGAAUAGAUCUUUUUGUUGGAGGGUUUGGUUAAUAAAAACACUAAGAACUGUGCCAAAUGGGAUCAAAAUAUCAGCUUUAUUAAAGGAAAGAGAAAAGAGGAAACGAAUCCUCUGAGAGCUUUCAUUCUUUCUCUGAUGAUGACAGAAAGGUAAGGUGUAUCCUAAGUGUCUAAGGAGGACCCAGCAGUAAGGUAGAGAUAAAGAAACUUAAGUGUAAUAUCUUAAACUUUGAUAUUUUAUUUAUAUAAAAUUUAAAGAAGACUGGGAAAAACUUUCAUAUUUUAAUUGGUGAAGCUUUUGUUGGCAAUAACACUAUAACUUGUAGAGGGGGUCUAGUAGUGUGUUCACUGAAAUGAUUCUGGUAUAGUUCACAAAACCUAGAGAGGGGAUCAAGCACUGAGUGUUUGGAAAGAACCAAAAAACCUUAGCUCACAGAAGCAAUGGCACGUUAAGCAGCAGCUGUCAUUAGUCGUGUGUUUGUGUUUGCUUUGUUUCUGUUCGUCAGAUAAGGAUCAGUUCUAGUGAGGACUCCAUUGCUUCAGCUUGCAGUGCUUUGCUCUUGCCACUCUCACUCAGAACGAUAGGGACAUAAGGAAUUGCCUUUGAGAUCCUCACCCCCUGACCCCUGCAGCCUGUAGUGAGGAGUGGAGCAGAAGAGGUAUAGCAGGAAGAAACUGCUGAGCUGACCAAAGAGAAGUAACGUGCAUUAAUUCAUUCAGCUCUUCAUUCAUUGAAUGUCUCUUGUGUGUCAUGUUAACUUCUGAGUAGUAGAGACACACAAAAGCCUUACUCAAAGGAAGUUUACAAACUACCCACAAGACCACAAGAACUAUAGGACCAAAAGUCAUUCAUAUAUAUAUAUAUAUAAUUUCACCAGUGAGCUCUUGAGAGGAUGCUGAGACCCUAAUGUAGAUGUACGGGCCACAGAGUUAGUGGAGCAUAAAGCAUUAUCCGGAAUCAAUCAGUCUCUAUGCCAUUUGUGGCAGAAAGCAUAUGUAGUGGUGCUCCUCUAACAGGACACUUGACCAAGCUCAGGUCAGCCAUGUGCUUUCUGUGGCCCAUGUCACCAAUGAAAACAUUAAUAAGACUUACAGGAUCUCUGAUUUGUUUUCUGAAGGUUUUAUGUUUCGAGCUCUAACCUUUCUUUUGUGUGCAUCUAAAGACAAUUACAUGGUGCAUUUGUAUAUCCAAGAGUAAAAUGAUACAUUUGAAAACACAUUUAAGUAUAAUUAAAACGUGCUAGAUACCGGUCUGUACUCAGGAAUGGAAACAAUCCUUGAAAAUUAAACAUAUGUAAGUCCUUAUUAAAAGUGUACACCCCACAGUAAUCACUGCUAGACUGUUGUGCUUUAGAACAUUUGAUUCAUACUAUAUUUUUCUUAAUUCUUCAAAACUAGAUUAUAGCUUGCUUAUUUUACUAUGGCCUAAGAAGCUUAAUGAUAUAGCAUGUAUCAGUGAAAUAUACCUGUCGUCUCCUUAAAGUAAACAGGUGGAGUAUAGAUGUAAAAGAUAUUUUUAUUGCUUAGAGAAUUGGGUUUUUGGUUGUUUUUUUUUUUUUUUUUUUGAGAAUGCUGACAACUAUGAUACAGGUGUGUAAACUUUUAUUUUUAAAGGUUCUUGAUUUUUUUAAGGAAAUUACCAUUGUCUUCAAAUAAGGAAUAUCAUGUUCUUUUCUAUAUUUUAAAAGCCAUCAUAAAAUAUAGCAGGUGUGUAUAGGUCACUGUGGUUGAUACCUGUAUGUCAUGAAAUCAUUGCAACCAGUAACAUCCACCAUUCUCUUCUUGUACCACUAAGGAAAUGAAGUGUAACAGAAAAGACCUUGCAUAGAUCCCUGUAAAGCCAAGUGUAAUUUUAUGCAUUUUAUUUGAUUUUAUUUUAGAUGAGAGAGAGAGAGAGAGAGAGAGAGAGAGAGAGAGUAUGUGUGUGUGUGUGUGUGUGUAUUACAGUGAAAAAUCAGAAAGCUUGUAAUAUAAAACUGGUAUCUUAGGUAUUUCUAAUGCAAUUCUAUAUUAUUUUAUGAGGAAAUAAAACUAAAAGGGAACCAUAGUUAAUUGCCUCACCUAAACUGGACUGAAGCAAAGCACGGCGAGGAUAUCAAACCCUGGAGUCAGUAGUCAGGAGCCUAUGAUUCGAGUGCAUCUCAGUGUUUACUAAACUGUGGUCUUUCACAUCAGUUUCUUUUUGUGUUCCUGAAGAGGUGGCCAUGAGGGAAGUAGCCACAGAGUUACCAAAUACUGUCUGUUGUGAAAAUGCCCUCGAAGCCUGUAGUGCUGUGUAAAUGUGGUGCUCCCCGCUCUUGGUACAUACAUGUCAUUCCAUGCUGUGUACUCAGCAGAUAUGGGAUACUGAAUGAAAUAUACAAAUAUCUUAAUAUUAUGAAUUGAGUUCUAAAAUAAGGUAAGUGUGUUUAUGGUGAUUUCUUUACCUUUAUAACUAUGUUGAAAUUUGAGAAAAUAUGAUAUACUAUAUGUUUGAAACCUUGUUUAUAUCAUGUAUAUAUGAGUGUGCAUAUCUGUUUUUGAAAGGAAUAGGUCCAGAUGGUCAUAUCGCUUUCAAUGAGCCAGGAUCCAGUUUAGUAUCAAGAACAAGAUUAAAGACUCUAGCAAUGGACACCAUUUUAGCAAAUGCAAAAUAUUUUGAUGGAGAUUUAUCAAAAGUACCAACCAUGGCUCUAACUGUUGGUGUGGGGACAGUGAUGGAUGCCAGGGAGGUAAGUAAUGUUGUUUUGAAUAUUUUUCUUUGAUGUUGAGUAAUUAUGGUGCUUAAUAUUUUAGAUUCAUCUAGUUUUCAAUAAAAAUGCUUAAAGGACAACAUUUAAUUAGAGCUGCCUCACUGGUUCUGAGGUUCAGUCCAUUAUCAUCACAGCCGGAAGCAUGGCAACAUCCAGGCAGGCAUGGGACUGUAUGAACUGACAGCUCUACUUCUUGUUCAGAGGCAAACUGGAGCAGAAUGGCUCUCACGUGGCUAGGAGGAGGGUCUCCAAGCCCACCACCACAGUGACACACCUCCUCCAACAAGGCCACACUUCCUGAUAGUGCCACUCCCUGAGCCAAGCAUAUACAAACCACAACAGUAACUGUGGUUGUGUUGGCAUUUGCGAAAGGGGUAUAGAGAGAAUGUCCUACAUAGUUUUGGAGCCCAUGGGAUUGAUUAAUAAAAAGUGCUUUUGACUACA
Rattus norvegicus (Norway rat) is the source of this 3734-nucleotide non-coding RNA. NCBI's taxonomy places the organism in Eukaryota, Metazoa, Chordata, Mammalia, Rodentia, Muridae. The record is from RefSeq and is a predicted model, not a curated record.